This 88-nucleotide microRNA precursor is filed under the name Glycine max (soybean). RNAcentral describes it as "miR4368a stem-loop (gma-MIR4368a)". Lineage: Eukaryota; Viridiplantae; Streptophyta; Magnoliopsida; Fabales; Fabaceae. The record is from miRBase by way of RNAcentral.
GGCAUUCAAAGACGGUACUUACCUCAGUAACAUCUUUGAAAGUAAACAUUCUAAGACGUUGCUGAUGUAAGCACCGUUUUAGAAUGCC